This 510-nucleotide ribosomal RNA is filed under the name uncultured bacterium. RNAcentral's name for it is "bacterial SSU rRNA". It matches the Rfam family "Bacterial small subunit ribosomal RNA", at positions 35 to 524 of the family's 1533-position model. The record is from RNAcentral.
AAGCUGGCGGCAUGCCUAUCAUGCAAGUCGAGCGGAGUUGAUAGGAAGCUUGCUUCCUUGAUACUUAGCGGCGGACGGGUGAGUAACACGUAGGCAACCUACCCUCAAGUUUGGGACAACUACCGGAAACGGUAGCUAAUACCGAAUAAUUGUUUUCUUCGCCUGAAGGAAACUGGAAAGACGGAGCAAUCUGUCACUUGGGGAUGGGCCUGCGGCGCAUUAGCUAGUUGGUGAGGUAACGGCUCACCAAGGCGACGAUGCGUAGCCGACCUGAGAGGGUGAUCGGCCACACUGGGACUGAGACACGGCCCAGACUCCUACGGGAGGCAGCAGUAGGGAAUCUUCCGCAAUGGGCGAAAGCCUGACGGAGCAAUGCCGCGUGAGUGAUGAAGGUUUUCGGAUCGUAAAGCUCUGUUGCCAGGGAAGAACGCUUGGGAGAGUAACUGCUCUCAAGGUGACGGUACCUGAGAAGAAAGCCCCGGCUAACUACGUGCCAGCAGCCGCGGUAAU